This 600-nucleotide ribosomal RNA is filed under the name uncultured bacterium. RNAcentral describes it as "bacterial SSU rRNA". It matches the Rfam family "Bacterial small subunit ribosomal RNA", at positions 70 to 692 of the family's 1533-position model. The record is from RNAcentral.
GCUUGCUAUAAUUGUCAGCUAAGUGGCGCACGGGUGAGUAAUGUAUAGAUAACCUGCCCUUAAGAAAGGAAUAACAGUUGGAAACGACUGCUAAUGCCCUAUAUGCCUUUAAUACAUAAGUAUGCAAGGGAAACGCUUUAGUGCUUAAGGAUGGGUCUGUAUGGUAUCAGCUUGUUGGUGAGGUAAUGGCUCACCAAGGCUAUGACGCCUAACUGGUUUGAGAGGAUGAUCAGUCACACUGGAACUGAGACACGGUCCAGACUCCUACGGGAGGCAGCAGUGGGGAAUAUUGCACAAUGGACGAAAGUCUGAUGCAGCAACGCCGCGUGGAGGAUGACACAUUUCGGUGCGUAAACUCCUUUUAUAUAGGAAGAUAAUGACGGUACUAUAUGAAUAAGCACCGGCUAACUCCGUGCCAGCAGCCGCGGUAAUACGGAGGGUGCAAGCGUUACUCGGAAUCACUGGGCGUAAAGAGCGUGUAGGCGGGUAUAUAAGUCAGAAGUGAAAUCCAAUAGCUCAACUAUUGAACUGCUUUUGAAACUGUAUACCUAGAAUGUGGGAGAGGUAGAUGGAAUUUCUGGUGUAGGGGUAAAAUCCGUA